ACAGAAGAUGCAAGAGAACAAAAAAGACUCUACUUCCUCAUCAUCAAUG
This 49-nucleotide small RNA is filed under the name Arabidopsis thaliana (thale cress). Its description in RNAcentral is "ATSL131640". Lineage: Eukaryota; Viridiplantae; Streptophyta; Magnoliopsida; Brassicales; Brassicaceae. The record is from RNAcentral.